UCUCUGCCCACAAGUGCCUUAAGAGCCUUCUUCCCUGCGCCGGUUGGGUUUGUGUGCUUGCAGUUCGGCCCCCCACAAGGUCUGAGGGACAGUGGACCGGCCCCCUGCUGGAAAAGUUUGCUGACCCCUGCCUUAAGAGGCCGUGCUGCUUCAUAUACUUUAACAUGGCAUCAAAACUUCAUCAAAAAGCUUUUUCUCAGUGUGAGAAGAUGUUUGUGGUGCUGGUCAGCCCUUUAGGAAGAAUUGAGAUAUCUGGAUGCAAGCUGGGGGUCCAUGAAAUCCACCUGGAGGAAAAUGUUGUGCUACAAAAUGGCUGUAGACUUCCUGAAAGAAUGUUUUCAAAAAGCCGUGGCAGAGGGGACAGAGGACAGCUGGACUUAGGCCGCAAAAUUGCCUUGGCCCCAGCGGUACAGAAGGGGAGAUGACGAGAGUUCCAGUACAGUGGAUCGAAAAGUGUGUUUGACAGCCAGGUGAGCCGCUUGUUUUGCUUACAGUCCCCAGGGUGCUUGAGACUCUCUUUGGAAGGGGAAGAAAGGUAUCAGAGCUGACUCUAGAGAGAUGAAAAUGGGCCUGAAGGGUUGAUGCGGCUGUCCCUUAUGUGAUACUACAAAGGUCUAGGACGGUAGAAUUUUCACAUUAGAGCCUCGACUCAGGUGAUAAAAAAAACCCCUUAUUUAAUUUUGCUGUUUUAAACAUAGGGAAUUAUCAAAUAUAGAGGGGGGGCAUGGGAAACAACAACGUUUUCUACUGUAUAAGUAUAAUACUGCAAAUACUUGAUCAACAGAAUAAAAGGAAAUUAGAAAUGGACAGUGUAAAUAAGUCAGGGAUCCAGCAUUCUAUUUCCUGAAUUGCGUAAGGAAAUGCAGGUGUUGGGGUCAGUUUACACAACCCAAAAAGGGCUUGUUCUCCUAAUCUAUUGUGAUGUGUGCUUGGUGAACUGGUUGCUUGGAUCAGCCAGCAGAGAUACUCUGGGAUAGCCAGUUCACACAACCAGUUAAAUGUACAUGUUCAGUCUGGGUAGACACGAGUUCCAUUGUUUUAAAAACCACACCUAAUUGGCCUCUAAUUGCCAACACACUAGAUCUUCCAUGUCUAGCAUAUGAACAUAAGUACUCGGAAUUAGCCUCAUACAUGGAGAGUUGAUGAAAGUUUAAUAGCAAAAAUAAACACAAAACAUUAUUAGAAAGUUCAUUUUGACUUCUUUUUUUUAAAAAGAGACUACCUGUUUACUAAACUGCUUGCAGUCAUAAGCAUGCAAACA
This is a non-coding RNA of Zootoca vivipara (common lizard), 1261 nucleotides long. NCBI's taxonomy places the organism in Eukaryota, Metazoa, Chordata, Lepidosauria, Squamata, Lacertidae. The record is from RefSeq and is a predicted model, not a curated record.